CAGGAGGGUACAGGCCUUCUGAAGAAGGGGAUGCAGGGAAAGCCCCCGAAAGGCGUGGAUAUGGUGGUCCUCGAGGUUCAUUCCGAGGGGGUCGGCGUGGUGGCUUCAGUAAUGGAGAAUCUGGAGAAGGGGAACGCCCUCGCAGGAUAUAUGAGCGGCGCAGUGGAACAGGACGAGGGAAUGAUAUUAAACGUGAUGGGGCUGGUCGCGGGAAUUGGGGAACUCCAAGUGAUGAAAUUGCUUUGGAGACUGAAGAACCUGCUGGUGAGAAUGAAAAGAAUGUGAAUGCUGAGAAGCAGCCAGGAGCUGAAGAAGCUACAGAUGCAAAUAAGGAAAGCCCUGUCAGCGAGCCAGAAGAGAAAGAGCCUGAGGAUAAGGAGAUGACUUUGGAAGAGUAU
Molecule: non-coding RNA, 398 nt
Organism: Carica papaya (papaya)
Lineage: Eukaryota; Viridiplantae; Streptophyta; Magnoliopsida; Brassicales; Caricaceae
Source: RefSeq, a predicted model, not a curated record